CGGGGCGUGGCUCAGCCUGGUAGAGCGCUCGCUUUGGGAGCGAGAUGUCGCUGGUUCGAAUCCAGUCGCCCCGACCA
Molecule: transfer RNA, 77 nt
Filed under: Acidobacteriota bacterium
Lineage: Bacteria; Pseudomonadati; Acidobacteriota
Also listed under: 3 other names
Description: Acidobacteria bacterium (soil metagenome) tRNA-Pro
Rfam family: tRNA
About the family: Transfer RNA (tRNA) molecules are approximately 80 nucleotides in length. Their secondary structure includes four short double-helical elements and three loops (D, anti-codon, and T loops). Further hydrogen bonds mediate the characteristic L-shaped molecular structure. tRNAs have two regions of fundamental functional importance: the anti-codon, which is responsible for specific mRNA codon recognition, and the 3' end, to which the tRNAs corresponding amino acid is attached (by aminoacyl-tRNA synthetases). tRNAs cope with the degeneracy of the genetic code in two manners: having more than one tRNA (with a specific anti-codon) for a particular amino acid; and 'wobble' base-pairing, i.e. permitting non-standard base-pairing at the 3rd anti-codon position.
Source: RNAcentral